RNAcentral lists this long non-coding RNA (707 nucleotides) under Citrus sinensis (sweet orange). Its description in RNAcentral is "long non-coding RNA (CSIN_LNC003307)". Lineage: Eukaryota; Viridiplantae; Streptophyta; Magnoliopsida; Sapindales; Rutaceae. The record is from RNAcentral.
UGUAACCUUUGUAGUUGCCUCUGUAUUUCGACCGGGUUCAAUCCAUGAUCCGAAUAAACGACCCGAUCCGAUCCCAUAGCACGGUCGUCGGCUACGUGAUAAUCGGGCGGAGGCGGGGGUGGCACUGCAACCGAUUCCGGAAUCUUCUGCGGCGGAAUUGGAACUCCUUUCUCUAAACCGAACAAGAAAUCGACGUUGUUAGCGAUCUUUUUCGAGUCAGUUACGUGACUCGGACCGGAAUUCAAAGCAUCGACGAACCGGUCCCGAUCGGACUUGGAUCCUUCGGAUCCGAAGCUGGAAGUCGUGCCAGCCGGAAACAAGAACAGCCGCAUACGAGCUGGCUUCGCCGAGGCCCGAUAAAGCCGGUCGUAUUCAUUCAUCAUGUGCUCGAGAUCGUCGUCGUUGGUCACGGAGAUCAAGGCGUCGAGAUCUUCUCCCGGAAGCUGGUACUUGAACGACACGUCGUUGUCGCCGCAGAGAGCCGCUAGCUUGCUGAUCAUGGAGGCGAACUUGAUGGCGCGAUCGGCGGCGAGUAUUUUGGUCUCGCCGCCGAUGUAGGCGAGCUGGUUGUCGUGAGGGCGCGGAUGGAUCUUGCCGCCGUAGCUGCACAUGAACUUGGCUCUGUAGGCUUGGGGAUUCUGGUUGUCCUCCCAUGGCGGAGGAUUCUCGAAAUCGAUCUCGCGUGAUCGUGGAGACGAGUCGCCGGA